CGCCUCUUGCUAACAAAGGAAGUACUAGAGGUCCCGCCUGCCCUGUGACCACAAAGUUUAACGGCCGCGGUAUCCUGACCGUGCGAAGGUAGCGUAAUCAUUUGUCUUUUAAAUAGAGACCUGUAUGAAUGGCAUAACGAGGGUUUAACUGUCUCCUUCCCCCAGUCAAUGAAAUUGAUCUGCCCGUGCAGAAGCGGACAUAAAUACAUAAGACGAGAAGACCCUAUGGAGCUUUAGACAAAAGAUCAAACAUGUAAAGAAACCAAAACAACCAAAAGGAACACGAAGGCCACAAAACCCAACGUAAACUGAUCUAAAUGUCUUCGGUUGGGGCGACCAUGGGGGAAAGAAAAGCCCCCACGAGGAACAGGGACAACCCCUAAACUAAGAGGGACCCCUCUAAGCAACAGAAAAUCUGACCAAAAUGACCCAGGAUACUAAUCCUGAUCAACGAACCAAGUUACCCUAGGGAUAACAGCGCAAUCCUUUCCCAGAGUCCAUAUCGACGAAAGGGUUUACGACCUCGAUGUUGGAUCAGGACAUCCUAAUGGUGCAGCCGC
This 560-nucleotide ribosomal RNA is filed under the name Anguilla rostrata (American eel). RNAcentral describes it as "partial large subunit ribosomal RNA". It matches the Rfam family "Bacterial large subunit ribosomal RNA", at positions 1816 to 2562 of the family's 2925-position model. Lineage: Eukaryota; Metazoa; Chordata; Actinopteri; Anguilliformes; Anguillidae. The record is from RNAcentral.